RNAcentral lists this ribosomal RNA (253 nucleotides) under uncultured bacterium. Its description in RNAcentral is "partial 16S ribosomal RNA". It matches the Rfam family "Bacterial small subunit ribosomal RNA", at positions 524 to 776 of the family's 1533-position model. The record is from RNAcentral.
UACAGAGGGUGCAAGCGUUGUUCGGAAUUAUUGGGCGUAAAGCGCGUGUAGGCGGUGGUUCAAGUCGGGUGUGAAAGCCCUCAGCUCAACUGAGGAAGUGCGCCCGAAACUGAAUCGCUAGAGUGUCGGAGGGGAAGGCGGAAUUCCCGGUGUAGAGGUGAAAUUCGUAGAUAUCGGGAGGAACACCAGUGGCGAAGGCGGCCUUCUGGACGAACACUGACGCUGAGACGCGAAAGCGUGGGUAGCAAACAGG